GUCUCCUUCCUUGGCCAGCUUGGGCCUACUGUAGAAGAAAUGGGCCAGCAUCAUACCGUGAGGGCCGAUGGCACCUGAUUUACCCUCCAGGAGGAUGCUUGUUGCUGGUGACCUAGCUGCCUGCAUCGGAGGACAAAGGCUGGAGUUGGAGCAUGCUGUGUGUUGGAGAGGGUGAGAUUAGGUGUUUGAAGGCUCAGUGUCUCAGAAACCUUUGUGAAGCCCUGGAGGAGCCAUAUGUUAGUCAGUGUCUACCUCCUUGGACAGCUUGGGCCUACCGCAGAAGAAAUGGGCCAGCAUCAUUCCUUGAGGGCUGAUGGCACCUGAUUUAGCCUCCAGGGAGGAUGCUUGGUGCUGUUGACCUAGCUGCCUGCACCUGAGGACAAAGUGUCUCCAUCCUUGGUCAGCUUGGGCCUACUGAAGAAGAAAUGGGCCACCAUCAUUGCAUGAUGGAUGAUGGCAUCAAAUGUAGCCUCCAGAGAAGAAUCUUGGUGCUGGUGACCUUGAUGACUGAAUCUGAGGACAAAGUGUCUCCUUCCUUGGCCAGCUUGGGCCUACUUCAGAUGAAAUGGGCCAGCAUCAUUCCUUGAAGGCUGAUGGCACCUGAUGUUGCCUCCAAAGAGGAUGCUUGGUGCUGGUGACCUAGCUGCCUGCAUCGGAGGACAAAGAAAAUGAACUGCUACGGGAAACUCUUCAGAUAAUGUCUAAAAGCAGAAAAUACAUGAAAGAAGACUUUCUAGAUCAAGAUCUCUUCAGCACGUAUUGUCUCAGAGCUGUACUUCGAAGAUGAUACCUACAAUGAUGAUUUGGAGUCACUAUAGAUGGUGCCAUCUCUUCUACCAGAAGCUUCAUGAAAAUAGUCUUCAUUAGGCAUGCUGAUGCCUCUCUCCUGUAUGCAGAAUACACUACCUGCAGAUAAGAAAUUCUUAACUGAGAAAUGCUCAUGUUGGGAUAUCAUCAAUGAGACUUUAAUUUGGGCAUGGUGACUGUUUCCCUUGCUGCCACUUGACUCAAUCCCAGGAGCCUCAGUAGAGGAAAUAAUAUUGUACAAGAAGCUCAAAAUGGUGGAAGUAUUUAGUGCUCCUAUAACUAUAAAUUGAUGAUUUUUAAAUAUGGCAUCUUAAAAAGAAAAUGCAUGAUUAAAAACUCAAUGCAUACCCAUAUGAUUAAUCCAUAAAUUAUGUACCUCCCCUAUUUCAAGAUAAUCCUCAUAUUUUCCCUCUGUUAAGGGAGGGAAAAUACUUUUAAGCAGAUAAAUAGACUUUUUUUGGGAGGACUUCAGUAGUGGAGCCAUAUUCCUCUGCAAAUUGCUGCUUUUGUUUAAGAGUCAUUUUGAUGUGCUUUUGCUACUUCAGUACCACAUUCAUAUCUAUGUCAUUUGUUGAAUGACUGCAUGCCUGAUUUGUGGAUGAAAUUAAAUUAAAUGUCUUAAGCAUUGCUCAUUCAUUGGCAUUUAUGUAAGUGCCAAUUUUCUGUGCAAUGAACUUUCGUAUAUAUUAAAAAUUCUGUAUUUGUCUCCUCUAUCAUAGUAAAAUUACCUACAACUUAAAUUAUUGAAGUUAAGCAUAUUAUCAUUUCAGGUUUUUAAAAUUAUUAUAAUUCUUUUAAAAAUGUGCUUUAACAGCUUUCUUCACAGUAGCAAUAACUUAGACUGCCAAAUUCUUCACAAUCCCCAUAUGUCAUCAUUUUAGAAACGUUUGGGAUUUUCCAGUGUGUUAGUCUAAACAAUUGUUUUAAAUUUUACUUUUUUUAACUUUUAGUUUGAUCAUUUUCAUGUUUAUUGGCCAUCUGUAUUUUUAAGUUUUUCUUUAUGUCAAAGUUUGGGAGUAUGUGGAAGGUUUAGUCUCUUUUAAAGAUCACAUUUACAGUUGGGGAAAGAUAAGAUUUUGGAUUGUUAAACAUUACAUGUUUUUCAUGCUUUUGAACUUUGUUUUGUUAUAAGAAUGUAUUAUUGUUACGUGUUCAAGUAUAACCAUGUUUGCUUUUAUGGCUUCUGAGUUUCAUGUCAUUUUUUGGAAAAAAAGUCCUGAUCUCAUAAAGCCUGUGUUAAUCCUAAUUCUUUUGUGUUGUUUUUUUUUUAAAUUCAGAUUCUUAUGUCAUAAAAAGAAUUUUAUUUUGAAAUUUUAAAGUUGCCAAGUUAUUUGCCAUUACUUAUAAUUAUUUGCCAAUAAUUGUCCAUUUCUCUGUAAUGCCAUUUUGCACAUGUGCUGUAUUCUCAUCCAUGAAUGGCUUCAUUUUUGUUCUGUGGAUAUGUGUGUCUCUUCUUGUGCCGCCUGUCUCAUGUGUCUUCUUGUUGGAAGAAAUUACAGUUUAGACUGCAAUUUCAUCAACAUUAAUAAAUUAAUUUCAGAAAAACUGGUUUUAAAUAAUAUUGUCUUCUUAAUUUAGGACAAGGUCUAUUUCUUUUUUUAAACAUUUAAUUAUUGUUGAUAUUUUUACCAUGUUUGGUUUUACUUUUCUUUAAUUCUUAUAUUUUUUUUGUAUCUGAAAGUCUUUUUAUACUUUUUUGGGAGGGGAUUAAGUGGUCACAUUACUCCUCCUUUUUGUUUUUAGAAUGUACCCAAAAUUUGUUGCAAAUAUUGAUUUCUCCCACACCCCACCCAGUUGAUACUGAUUUUGGUUAUGUUGAUAAAAGCCCACAGACUGGUACUUUCAGAGCACUUAAAUAAUUGUGGAAACAUUAUCCACCCUUGAUUUAAAUGGGAUUUAACAGAAUGCUUCUUGGGUUUGAAUAGCACACUGCCAGUUGUCUAUUCUUCCAAAAAGACCACCUAAAAGAGCUAUGAUCAUACAAAGUUGAGUUUAUUAAACUUACUGCAGCAAGGGAAAACACCACCUUAACAGGGUUUAGUAGUGAUUGAAAAGAUAAAUAAGAGUCUUUAGAUCUGGGCUACUGUGGUUUUAGGCAGAGACAUGAUUAUGAAUGUGCACAGUUCAGCAUGCAAUACUUUCAGGUGGAUGGGGGUGUGAUGAAAUUCCUAAUGUGCUUCUUGAUAAUCAAUCUGGUAUAUGAAUUGUGUCCCUUAAUAAGAAAGUAAUGACAUAAGAGGUAUUUACCUCUAUGAGCAAAUAGAAUUUAUCAGUUUAUAGUUUUGUCUUGCUAGGCAGGACUCUACUAGGGAUGAUACCAGGUCUUUUUCCCAAAAGGUAAAUUAUUUCUCAUUUGACUAGUUUAAAAUAUCAAUGUAAGUUUAUAACUUUAAUUUUGAGAUACUUGGUUUGUUGUGUUAGAAAACUCUUCCACUUUUUAUAUUUUUCUAAAGAAUCUGGAUCAAAGCCAUGUGGAAGAUGUAACUUUUUUUCACAAAUACUUGUAUUGUUCUUUUUAGAACUUCUGUAAUAUAUUUCAUUUUCAAUAAUUAGAAAUUCUUUUCUUCCAUGAUUGAACUUACCUUAAUUCUGUUUAAUUAUUUUUAUUUACUGCUAAUCUAUGGACAUUUAAAUUUAAUUUGGAAUUUUUUGGAGUCUGUGAUUAUAUGAAAUCACUUUUCCAUUGACUUUCCUUUCUUCUUCUCUCAUGCUUUGGUAUUAGAAGUUCUGAUUAUGUUUAAAAAACGUAGAGAAUUUUCAUAUGGUGCAAUGAUCAGUGGGUUGUUACCAGUGUUAAUUGAGCAAAUCAGUGAAAUCUACCGCUGGGAUUUGGUUAUUGAUGGAAAUAAGACUUUAGUUUUAUUCACAUCUUACCAGUUAUGUUUUCAAAUCUUAAGUUUAACAUUUUUUUUUUCUCACAGAGGAUCACAAUGGACACAGAUUUUCUAUCACUCUAAAUUUUGCCUUUUCAAAUGAGUACAUUUCAAAAGUGGCAUUUAAAAAGGAUCCAUUUUCUCCUCUCUUUCACAAUCAAGAUUUUAUGGCUUUUUUUCCAGUUUUUAAAAAUAUCGCAAUAUAUAUUUAUAUAUUUUUCUAUGUCUUUUGCCUCUUUUCUUCCCAAAUCCUUUCUACCUACCCAAAUCAUUUCUUAUUCUUCUCUCUCAUUAGAAAACCAACAGGCAUCCAAAAAACAGAUGAAAUGAGGAUUUAUAAUGUAAAAUAAUAACCAACAAAUCUGAAUAGGUCAAAACAAACAAAUGAACAGAAAACAAAAAGCCAAAUGAAAAAAAAAAAAAAACCAAGAAACAU
Meriones unguiculatus (Mongolian gerbil) is the source of this 4116-nucleotide long non-coding RNA. RefSeq lists it as uncharacterized. The record is from RefSeq and is a predicted model, not a curated record. NCBI's taxonomy places the organism in Eukaryota, Metazoa, Chordata, Mammalia, Rodentia, Muridae. The transcript has 7 exons.